Molecule: non-coding RNA, 2165 nt
Organism: Prunus avium (sweet cherry)
Lineage: Eukaryota; Viridiplantae; Streptophyta; Magnoliopsida; Rosales; Rosaceae
Source: RefSeq, a predicted model, not a curated record
UGCCCAUCAAUGUAUCUACAAUUUACUGCAUAUGUAUUCCUGUUCCGCUUCAGCUCAUGAAGCUUCUAAUUCCACAGCCCAGACUGGACACGCAACUAGGGGUGAUUGGCAAGAGGUGGUCUAUCAAAAACAGUCACAAACUCAAAUUACUCAAGUGCAGCCUCAUGAAAAUCAAAUGAACCCACAGUUGCAAUCAAUUGACAUACAAGGUUCUGUGGCAACAAUGCAGCAGAAUAAUAUGACAAGAUUGGAGCAAAAUCCUGUGUCUUCUUGAUCGGGGUUUUCAACAGCACAUCAGAACAUGAUGAAUUCAUUGCAGCUUAGUUCCAACAUGGAUUCAGGGCAAGGAAAUGCACUGAACUCAUUGCAGCAGGUUCCUGUGGGCAGCAACCAACAAACUCCUGUCAGUGCUCCCCAACAAGCGAAUAUGAAUGCCUUGUCAUCAGAGAGUGGGGUUAAUGUGCUACAGGCAAACAUGAAUUCCAUUCAGUCAAAUUCUGGUAUGCUUCAACAACAGCAUAUAAAACAACAGCAGGAGCAGCAAAUCAAUUAUGUAAAUGAGUUAAAGAUGAGACGAGCUGCAGGCCAGCAUGCUUUUUCCCAUCAGCAAUUGAAAUCUGGAUCUCCAUUUCCUAUUUCAUCAACAACCCAAUUCCUUCAGGCUGCAUCCCCUAAAAUUUCGCAACAUUCUUCACCCCAAAAUGACCAGCAGAAUCUACUGGCUCACACAAAAGCUGGAACCUCUAGUUCCCCAUUUGUCAUCUCAUCUCCUUCAACUCCGAUGGCUCCAUCCUCCAUGCCAGGGGAUUCUGAGAAACCCUCCUCACUCUCAAAUGCUGAGAAGAUUGGGCAUCUACAAGCAACUGGUGUCGGAUCACAGAUCCAGUCCCUUGCCAUUGGCACCCCUGGGAUAUCAGCCUCUCCUUUGCUUGCUGAAUUUAGUACCAGACAGUACUCAUGUUAAUGCUUUGUCAACUAUUUCUGGCAAGUCAAAUGUUACCAAGCAGCCUCUUGAACAGUUGAUUAAAGCGGUGAAAUCGAUAUCUUCAAAUGCAUUGAGUGCCUCAGUCAGUGACAUUGGCUCAGUAGUGAGUAUGAGUGAUAGGAUAGCAGGGUCAGCACCAGGCAAGGGAUCUAGUGGUGAGGAUUUGAUUACCAUGACAAAGUGUUGUCUGCAAGGAAGGAAUGUUUUGACUCGUGAUGGAACAAAUGGGUCUAGGAAAAUGAGGCGCUUCACUAGUGCCGUGCCCUUAAAUGUUGUGCCAUCAGCUGGCAAUGAUAGUUUCAGGCAGUUGGCUAGUUCAGAGACAUCUGACCUGGAGUCAACUGCAACAUAUCGUAUCAAGAGGCCUAGGAUUGAGGCUAAUCAUGCUCUUUUGGAAGAAAUAAGAGAAAUAAGGCAGCGGUUGAUCAACACAGUUGUUGAUAUCAGUGAUGAAGAUGAUGACCCUAGUGCAUCUGCUGCCGAUGGGGGUAAAGGAAUCAUUUUCAAAUGCUUUUUUGAUGCUGUGGCUUUCGGUCCGAACUUGAAAUCGCAGUAUGCUUCAGCACAGAUGUCACCAAUUCAGCCAUUAAGACUGCUUGUUCCCAGCAAUUAUCCCAACUGCUCUCCAAUACUCUUGGACAAGUUUCCAGUUGAAGUCAGUAAGGAGUAUGAAGAUCUAUCUGUGAGGGCAAAGUCAAGGUUUAGCAUAUCUCUACGAAGUAUUUCACAACCCAUGUCCCUUGGGGAGAUAGCAAGGACCUGGGAUGUUUGUGCAUAUGCAGUUAUUUCCGAGCAUGCGCAGCAGAGUGGCGGAGGCAGUUUUAGCUCAAAGUAUGGGACAUGGGAGAACUGCUUGAGUGCUGCUUGAUCAUCUCUCUUCAGACCGGAAAAAGCUAGUCCAAGGGUCGUUAUCUAAACUGUGAUGCAUAGUUUUUCUACCGCUUUUUUGCUGCAAAGAUGAAGCAGUUUUAGGAUAGUCUGCAUGUAUAGGAGGAACCUGUGAUGUUUUGUAUAUGGUCAGAUUUUCCGAAGUGAAUAAUCUUGGGAUAGUUCUUGUUGGAUUUUUCCUAGGUAACUUCUGUGUGUUGUAGUUUGGAUACUGUAAAUCAUCUGUGAUCUGUCUGUAUGUUUUCGUUGGGUUAUGCCGCAUUAUGCAGUAUUCUGCUACGUCUUCUUGUAA